Acanthosepion pharaonis is the source of this 97-nucleotide non-coding RNA. NCBI's taxonomy places the organism in Eukaryota, Metazoa, Mollusca, Cephalopoda, Sepiida, Sepiidae. The record is from the annotation of a GenBank genome assembly.
UAUAACACCGGUUCCCGUACGAUCAUUAAAGUUAAGCAACGUCGAGCCUGGUUAGUACUUAGAUGGAUCACCGGUUGGAAAUACCAAGUGCUGUAAG